GGGACGGAGGGAGUACAAUGAGGCAUUUAUAUAAAAGGUUUAGUAUUUACUUACCACUUGAACAUGACGAUAUUUCUAGAUGAUCAAGUGGGUCUUAAACUCUCUCGCAAAAGUUUAACCAUCUUAAAACCUUCAAAUACAUAAAAGAAGAGGUAUAAUAGGACUAUGUUCCACCUAUUAACCAAAUUUUCAGUUUUCAUUUAUUUGGGCAAGUGUCAUGAUAUUUCAUCCAAAAAUGUUAUCCCAAACAAAAACAAAAGCAAAAUGUAUAAACUAUAUAACUGUCGAACUAGUCAAUAUGGCUUGGCCCAUGGUGGUGCACA
This 323-nucleotide long non-coding RNA is filed under the name Setaria viridis. RNAcentral describes it as "long non-coding RNA (SVIR_LNC003747)". The record is from RNAcentral. Lineage: Eukaryota; Viridiplantae; Streptophyta; Magnoliopsida; Poales; Poaceae.